GCCGUGGUGGCUCAGUGGUUAAGCACUCAGCUGCUAACUGAGAGAUUGGACGUUAGAACCCACUCAGUGGCU
This 72-nucleotide transfer RNA is filed under the name Loxodonta africana (African savanna elephant). It matches the Rfam family "tRNA". Rfam says of the family: Transfer RNA (tRNA) molecules are approximately 80 nucleotides in length. Their secondary structure includes four short double-helical elements and three loops (D, anti-codon, and T loops). Lineage: Eukaryota; Metazoa; Chordata; Mammalia; Proboscidea; Elephantidae. The record is from Rfam by way of RNAcentral.